RNAcentral lists this ribosomal RNA (311 nucleotides) under Azotobacter sp. CCT. RNAcentral describes it as "bacterial SSU rRNA". It matches the Rfam family "Bacterial small subunit ribosomal RNA", at positions 51 to 357 of the family's 1533-position model. The record is from RNAcentral. Lineage: Bacteria; Pseudomonadati; Pseudomonadota; Gammaproteobacteria; Pseudomonadales; Pseudomonadaceae.
CGCACUCAUCAAGUGAACGGUACAGGAAGCAGCUUGCUGCUUCGCUGACGAGUGGCGGACGGGUGAGUAAUGUCUGGGAAACUGCCUGAUGGAGGGGGAUAACUACUGGAAACGGUAGCUAAUACCGCAUAACGUCGCAAGACCAAAGAGGGGGACCUUCGGGCCUCUUGCCAUCGGAUGUGCCCAGAUGGGAUUAGCUAGUAGGUGGGGUAACGGCUCACCUAGGCGACGAUCCCUAGCUGGUCUGAGAGGAUGACCAGCCACACUGGAACUGAGACACGGUCCAGACUCCUACGGGAGGCAGCAGUGGG